AGUGCAUGUGGUGGAUGCCUUGGCAGUCAGAGGCGAUGAAAGACGUGAUAGCCUGCGAAAAGCUCCGGGGAGGCGGCAAAUAUCCUUUGAUCCGGAGAUGUCUGAAUGGGGGAACCCACCUACUUUAAGGUAGGUAUUGCAACAUGAAUACAUAGUGUUGCAAGGCGAACGAGGGGAAGUGAAACAUCUCAGUACCCUUAGGAAAAGAAAUCAAUUGAGAUUCCCUCAGUAGCGGCGAGCGAACGGGGAUCAGCCCAUUAAGUUAUGUGUGUUUUAGUGGAACGCUCUGGGAAGUGCGAACGUAGAGGGUGAUAUUCCCGUACACGAAAGGGCACACAUAAUGAUGACGAGUAGGGCGAGGCACGUGAAACCUUGUCUGAAUAUGGGGGGACCAUCCUCCAAGGCUAAAUACUCCUGACUGACCGAUAGUGAACCAGUACCGUGAGGGAAAGGCGAAAAGAACCCCUGUGAGGGGAGUGAAAUAGAUCCUGAAACCGCAUGCAUACAAGCAGUGGGAGCACCUUCGUGGUGUGACUGCGUACCUUUUGUAUAAUGGGUCAGCGACUUAUAUUCAGUAGCGAGGUUAACCGUAUAGGGGAGCCGUAGAGAAAUCGAGUCUUAAUAGGGCGUUUAGUUGCUGGGUAUAGACCCGAAACCAGGCGAUCUAUCCAUGAGCAGGUUGAAGGUUGGGUAACACUAACUGGAGGACCGAACCCACUGUCGUUGAAAAGCCAGGGGAUGACUUGUGGAUAGGGGUGAAAGGCUAAUCAAGCCUGGUGAUAGCUGGUUCUCCCCGAAAGCUAUUUAGGUAGCGCCUCGGACGAAUACCAUAGGGGGUAGAGCACUGUUUCGGCUAGGGGGUCAUCCCGACUUACCAAACCGAUGCAAACUCCGAAUACCUAUGAGUACUAUCCGGGAGACAGACUGCGGGUGCUAACGUCCGUAGUCAAGAGGAAAACAAUCCAGACCGCCAGCUAAGGCCCCAAAAUCAUAGUUAAGUGGGAAACGAUGUGGGAAGGCAUAGACAGCUAGGAGGUUGGCUUAGAAGCAGCCACCCUUUAAAGAAAGCGUAAUAGCUCACUAGUCGAGUCGGCCUGCGCGGAAGAUGUAACGGGGCUAAAACUAUGUGCCGAAGCUGCGGAUGUAUACUUUGUAUACGUGGUAGGGGAGCGUUCUGUAAGCCGAUGAAGGUGUGUUGAGAAGCAUGCUGGAGGUAUCAGAAGUGCGAAUGCUGACGUGAGUAACGACAAAACGGGUGAAAAACCCGUUCGCCGAAAGACCAAGGGUUCCAGUCCAACGUUAAUCGGGGCUGGGUGAGUCGACCCCUAAGGCGAGGCCGAAAGGCGUAGUCGAUGGGAAAAUGGUUAAUAUUCCAUUACUUCUGUGUAAUGCGAUGAGAGGACGGAGAAGGCUAAAUCAGCCUGGCGUUGGUUGUCCAGGUGAAAGGAUGUAGGCAUGUAUCUUAGGCAAAUCCGGGGUACUCUAUGCUGAGAUCUGAUAGCAAGCUGUACUUGUACAGCGAAGUGGUUGAUGCCAUGCUUCCAGGAAAAGUCUCUAAGCUUCAGUUACACAGGAAUCGUACCCGAAACCGACACAGGUGGUCAGGUCGAGUAGACCAAGGCGCUUGAGAGAACUCUGCUGAAGGAACUAGGCAAAAUGGUACCGUAACUUCGGGAGAAGGUACGCUGUUGUUGGUGAUGGAACUCGCUUCCUGAGCUGACGACAGCCGCAGAAACCAGGCCGCUGCAACUGUUUAUUAAAAACAUAGCACUCUGCAAACACGAAAGUGGACGUAUAGGGUGUGAUGCCUGCCCGGUGCUGGAAGGUUAAUUGAUGGGGUUAGCGUAAGCGAAGCUCUUGAUCGAAGCCCCAGUAAACGGCGGCCGUAACUAUAACGGUCCUAAGGUAGCGAAAUUCCUUGUCGGGUAAGUUCCGACCUGCACGAAUGGCAUAAUGAUGGCGGCGCUGUCUCCAGCAGAGGCUCAGUGAAAUCGAAAUCGCUGUGAAGAUGCAGUGUACCCGCGGCUAGACGGAAAGACCCCGUGAACCUUUACUGCAGCUUGACACUGAACUUUGACCUUACUUGUGUAGGAUAGGUGGGAGGCUUUGAAGCUGGAACGCUAGUUCCAGUGGAGCCGUCCUUGAAAUACCACCCUGGUAAUGUUGAGGUUCUAACUCUGUCCCGUGAUCCGGGACGAGGACCGUGUCUGGUGGGUAGUUUGACUGGGGCGGUCUCCUCCUAAAGAGUAACGGAGGAGUACGAAGGUGCGCUCAGCGUGGUCGGAAAUCACGCGUAGAGUAUAAAGGCAAAAGCGCGCUUAACUGCGAGACCCACAAGUCGAGCAGGUACGAAAGUAGGUCUUAGUGAUCCGGUGGUUCUGUAUGGAAGGGCCAUCGCUCAACGGAUAAAAGGUACUCUGGGGAUAACAGGCUGAUACCGCCCAAGAGUUCAUAUCGACGGCGGUGUUUGGCACCUCGAUGUCGGCUCAUCUCAUCCUGGGGCUGAAGCAGGUCCCAAGGGUAUGGCUGUUCGCCAUUUAAAGAGGUACGCGAGCUGGGUUUAGAACGUCGUGAGACAGUUCGGUCCCUAUCUACCGUGGGCGCUGGAAAUUUGAGAGGAUCUGCUCCUAGUACGAGAGGACCAGAGUGGACGAACCUCUGGUGUACCGGUUGUGACGCCAGUCGCAUCGCCGGGUAGCUAUGUUCGGAAGGGAUAACCGCUGAAAGCAUCUAAGCGGGAAGCCUACCUCAAGAUAAGAUUUCCCUAGGACUUUAUGUCCUCUAAAGAGCCGUUCGAGACUAGGACGUUGAUAGGUUGGAUGUGGAAGCAUAGUGAUAUGUGAAGCUGACCAAUACUAAUUGCUCGUGAGGCUUGACU
This 2878-nucleotide ribosomal RNA is filed under the name Acinetobacter baumannii. Its description in RNAcentral is "bacterial LSU rRNA". It matches the Rfam family "Bacterial large subunit ribosomal RNA". The record is from RNAcentral. RNAcentral also lists the same sequence under 36 other names. Lineage: Bacteria; Pseudomonadati; Pseudomonadota; Gammaproteobacteria; Moraxellales; Moraxellaceae.